RNAcentral lists this ribosomal RNA (434 nucleotides) under Capnocytophaga sp. oral taxon 336. RNAcentral's name for it is "bacterial SSU rRNA". It matches the Rfam family "Bacterial small subunit ribosomal RNA", at positions 28 to 462 of the family's 1533-position model. Lineage: Bacteria; Pseudomonadati; Bacteroidota; Flavobacteriia; Flavobacteriales; Flavobacteriaceae. The record is from RNAcentral.
GAUGAACGCUAGCGGCAGGCCUAACACAUGCAAGUCGAGGGGGAAGUUACUUUCGGGUAACUGAGACCGGCGUACGGGUGCGUAACGCGUAUACAAUCUGCCUUUCACUGGGGGAUAGCCCGAAGAAAUUUGGAUUAAUACCCCAUAGUAUAUAGGGACGGCAUCGUUUUUAUAUUAAAGCUACGGUGGUGAAAGAUGAGUAUGCGUUCUAUUAGCUAGUUGGAGAGGUAACGGCUCCCCAAGGCGAUGAUAGAUAGGGGUUCUGAGAGGGAUGUCCCCCACACUGGUACUGAGAUACGGACCAGACUCCUACGGGAGGCAGCAGUGAGGAAUAUUGGACAAUGGUCGGAAGACUGAUCCAGCCAUGCCGCGUGCAGGAUGAAGGUCUUAUGGAUUGUAAACUGCUUUUGUAAGGGAAGAAUAAGAGCUACGCG